GUAGGUGAACCUGCGGAAGGAUCAUUAUACGUUUAUCCAACGUACCAACCAACGCGAAUUCGUUCAACGUCUGUGUGCAGCUUUUUGAGGCGAUCAAAAUAUGGUGGGAGAUGGGCAACAAUGCCUUUUUCUGUUUGAUCGUCGGGCGUUUUCUUUCUUUUACGGAGAGGAACGACAAAAGCUGAUUUUUGCACGGCAACCAUUUUUAUUCAACAUUUACAAACGCAUUGUAAUCACUUGUACUAAACUUAAAACAUCGUCUUUGCAUGCAGCAAGAAAAAAAAGCAAAGGUGCCUUUAUUGGUUCCCUGUUUUUUUUGAUUGCCGCGAGCAUCGAUCGAACAAAGACAUUAAUUGCUGAACAACUCUUAGCAACGGAUAUCUUGGUUCUC
RNAcentral lists this unclassified non-coding RNA (391 nucleotides) under rhizosphere metagenome. RNAcentral's name for it is "partial ribosomal RNA internal transcribed spacer region". The record is from RNAcentral.